RNAcentral lists this long non-coding RNA (5360 nucleotides) under Sus scrofa (pig). Its description in RNAcentral is "lncRNA (ENSSSCG00000061523.1)". Lineage: Eukaryota; Metazoa; Chordata; Mammalia; Artiodactyla; Suidae. The record is from RNAcentral.
UGGGUGGUGGGUUAAGUGAUAAUUGAGAAUUUGAUUGCUCGCCAACUGAGGAGUCUAGGGCUCUGCUAGAAAUGGCUCAGUUCUUGAAACAAACUAAGCCCUCAUUAUGUGUUGUUAUCAGUGACUAAGUGAUUGGAUAAAUUAUGAAAUAGCUCUUCAUAUGUACAUCCUCAUCAGAUUUUUUAAAAAGUAAUUAUCCUGUUUAUUGGGCCUAUUAGGUCCUCCAUCUUCCCAUUAAAAAAAAAAUCACUGGUAUUUUCUUACUCAGAUAGUACAUUAAGAAAUUAUAUUAGUAAUAAAACAAAAACACUCAGAAAAUUGCACUUUGACUGCUGAUUUUGCCCCUUAAAACUAAACUGCAACUGAUUAACUGAUCAACUAAACUUAAUGUUCAGCUCUUAAGCCCAAGUCCUCCCAAGGUCAACAGCACCUUUGUGGGCACCCAGAGCUGAACUGUUCUAAUGUAUUGCAGAAGGAGGUGUUUGUAAGCAGCAUCUGUGAAGGCAGGUCCUUAGAAACCACACUGAUUCCCCCCAAAACCAAUGACGUACAGUGGAAAGAAACAGUCUGUUUUGAACUAUAUCGCAAAGUAAAAGGUAUUCCUUAUUAUUAAGGGACAGAACCUGAAAAUGUAAAUUGCACAUAAUCUUUUAGCUUGGAAUUUCAUAUGAACCUGUACCAUCCAUUAUCUGCCCACAGUUUGUACUUACUAUGGACAAUAAUGUUCACCCCUACUAAGGUUUAUUUUCAUUCCUUACAUAGAUAGCAUUAUUUUAAAUUUUUAAAGCUAAACUUACUAUGGAAAUUUCCAGAUAAAGCUUAGAGUGAUUUUCUUAUCUGAUUAAAGAAUAAUAUACAAACACUAUAGAGAGGUUGGCUGCAAAUCUUGCAUAAUGGCAAAAACAAACACCAUUCUGAAGAAACAGAGAUAAAGAAAAAAUGGAAAACAAACUUCAAAACGUGUCACAGGGAAUAAAUUCCUACCAAGAAAUAUGCUCUCUUCUAAACUUCAUAUUUAUAACUUUGGAAACACAUUUUAUUUCAAGCAGAAGCAAUAUAGCAAAUGCAUUUUACAAGGAAACACAUAAACUUAUACACACCAACUUUUAAACUUUAUGGGAGCAGUUGUAGAAGCCUGGUAUAAAGAUGAUAUCUGGCAAAAUAAAGGCUUGGGGAAGUAUUAAUUGGCCCCAAUGGGUCUUCCUUCUGGGGAAAAGAGAAACUGAAAACUAAAAUGAGAGUCUUCCCAAGGCUCAUGAUAUGAUUUCCGGCUCUGAGUGUUAGUAACCAGUAUCAUUCUUAGGUCUUUAUAAAAUGUUUAGUAACCCUUUCUUAUUAUCAGGAAGGAGCACUGAUGUCUAUCCACAUACAUCUGCCUCAGUCUAGCUUAAGACCCUCCAGAACUCAGUAUCACCUCAACAAGCCAACUUCAGACCCUCACCAUCUUCUCCUUCCACAAUCUCACCACCCACCCCAAGGCAUCUACUCAUUAUUUUCCAGUCAUAGAUCAGCAUACUUCAAUUAGCUCUCUCAGUUAAUGUCUCAGCAUAAGGCACAGAAAGCCCAAUGCAGAGAGGCAUUUACCGUGUCAUAUGACUGGGGAUUUCAGGCUUGAAGUCGUCUUCAGUAUGGUAUGAUUCAGAGAUUGAUUCAGGGAGGCUAAAUCAAUCACCAAGGCCUGGGGGUGAGGGGAUGGAGUGAUGUUUGAUGUAGGUCAUGUGACUCGCUCCCAGAAGUAGGAGUGAAGUAAACUUUCCCAGAACCACAUGGGUCCAUAAGCAAAAGUCAGGGGCUGUUGAGAAGGUGGAAGGGGAGAUGGAUGUUAAAAGAGGCAAUUACCAAGUGCCGACUGCAGCAUACGUAACACGAUUCUUCCUCCACUUUGUACUUUCUCAUUACUCGUCCUGUCAGUCAAAUUUCUUAUCAUCCAUACUUUGAAGCUCAACUCAUAUCCAAUCUCCUCAGAAAACCUUUCCCAAGUCACCAGCUCUUUCUUACAUCCACUGCUAUAAUACUUAACAGUCCAUAUUGUACUACCCAGAGUGCUGGUUUAUACAUGUACUUCAGUGAGUUUCCAUUAUUUAUGGAUAAAAUAUUUCAUUCCCCAAAGUUUUUAAAGCAUUUCGAAGAAUUGAGUGUUGCCUUUUACUUCACAUACACCCCAUAAAUCCUAGGACAACACUGGAAACAGGGCAGACACACAAAAAGUAUGAGUUAACAAACAAAGCCUUGCAAAUAGCUAUGCCAUUCAUAAAGGUCAACUUUGAUCAUAAUGCAACAUUACUCAAAAUUCCACUGUUUCCCAUCACCUAUAGGGUGAACUCCAGGAUCCACGGCAUUACAAAUAUGGCAAGGUGGUAUUUUUCAAACUGUAACCAUUUUUUUAAUACCAGUUUUUCAUCACCUAGCCGCCCCCUUCCCCUCAACUCCCAUUAAGUCAGCUGGCCAUUUUCAUGAAUAUUGCCUCAGGAGAGGGAGUUGAAACCAGGAAGGAAAAAAAAAAGCAGAAAAGCUAGUAUUUCUUUUUGGUUUUCCAAAGGCAUAAUUCUUUUUUUUUUUUUUAGGGACAAACCCGCAGCAUAUGGAAGUUCCCAGACUAGGGGUUGAAUCAGAGCUAUAGUUGCCAGCCUACACCACAGCCAUAGCAACACAGGAUCUGAGCUGUGUCUGUGACCUACACCACAGUUCACGGCAACGGGGGAUCCUUAACCCACUGAGCGAGGCCAGGGAUUGAACCCACAACCUCAUGGAUACUAGUCUGGUUAAUUUCCACUGUAUCAUAAUGGGGACGCCCCCAAAGGCAUAAUUCUUAAAUGAUCUCUCUGACAAUAAAAGAUUUCCCCAUGUUGGAGAGAAAGCUAAGGAAGAAAGACAUGAGAGAAGAGAGAUUGGUGGGGUUCUAGAGGAAGAGGGUUAACACACCAGGGCCACAGAAACAUAGAUCACUUUAGGAGAGGACCCUUUAGGAGCUGAGUGGACAGCCCAUGAGGUCCUCCAGCUCAACCCAGGGAGCACACGGCAGAAUCACUGCUUCAGAAGCUCCGUCAUCGUGCUUAUCUCCAGCUUCUGGAGAGGGACCUUCUUUGCCAACAGCUGGUUAGCUCUGCCUGAGGACAGACCAGACCUGAGACCAGAGGUACCUUUUCCACAGGUACAAAAAUCCAUGUAGACCAGCCUCCUUGCAGUGUCCAGAAUAAAGAAAGUGAAGUCUGGGCGUCCGAGGGGUGAUCUUGGUAGUAAACGUAAAGCUUCGUCCCACAACUUUUACCCUGGGAAAGCCUGGGAUGUGAGGGGUGGGGACGGCUGCUCACCAGGACCGUGGUUAAACCUAAACCUCCUCUCUCACCAGUCCCGCCCCAGGGGCAAAGCUGCGUCAGAGAGCCGGAAUAUGCAUGGGUCUUUUCCCUCUCAAGAAACCGUCCCUGUUUAGCCAAACUUUUUCCUAUAGGGAGGGUAUGUAAGAGUGACUAAGACAAAAAUAUGGCACAGCUUUGACUGUAUCAGGGGCCAUAUUCAUUCACUCAAUUUCAUUCAACACAGUAUUAGGUUUGCUCCAAACAAAAUGCUGGCCCACUGUGCUAAGUGCCAGGAAUAAAAAGAUGAAUGAGACCUGAUAUUUGUCAUCAGGAAAUGUGCAAAUACGUCACACGUACAUAAAUAGAUAAUUACAGCAAAAUGUAUAAAGUGCUGAAAUGAAGCUCUUCAGUGGUGUUAAGGGAUUAUAAGAGGGGAAGUAACUCUAGGGGAGAAAGGUUUUGCUCCAUGGUAAGAGAUAUAAGAAAUGCACAGAGACAAGAGAUGCGGAGUUUGCCGGCCUAAAGAAUGAAUCUCGUAACACUUCAUUAGGCCGCAGGCCAGCCUGGAAGAAACUCAGAGAUCACUCAAUGCAAGCUUCUAGGGAUCUGGAAAAGCUAACCUUAGCAUCUGGCCUGGGAAAGAUCAGGAGCAACUGAAGAGCCCAAUCCCUCUCCAACAUCCUGGAAAAAUAAAAUAGCUAGAGCAAAUCCGACCCUCAUGCACCUAUGAAAAUAAAACCAAGAACAUUCGACUUCUUUAUGAAAUCUUUCUCUUACACUUAAGAAAGAGAUGAGAAGUGAACAUUGAUCCCAAACUUCGAUUCUACCCCCCAAUCUCCUCAGUGAUGGCUGACAGCUUCACUUUUUAAAUUCGAAUUGUAUUGAGCAUGGGCUGAUCUGCAGAAGGGCCAUGUAAAGUUGUUCUGACACCAAAGGAGGUACCACAUAUACCGUACAUGAAUUAUCUACUUUUAUUAUGUAUAUUUAACACAAUUUGGUGUUUCCUCCAUGUUUCAAAAGAUCCCCCUUCCCUAGGACAUGUCCCCAGUUAAAGGUAAUCCUAACUGCAGGCAGAAAUAAUUCCACUCUCCAAUUAUUAAAACUCUGGGGAAGAGUGCCCUGGUGGCUCAGUGGGUUAAGGACCCAACACUGUCACUGCUGUGACUCGGAUCGCUGCCGUGGCAUGGGUUCCAUCCCUGGCCUGGGAACGUCACAGGCCAUGGGCAUGGCCAAAAAAGAAAUUCUGAGGAAAAGCAAAAUCAGGCUUUUUUCUUGUUUCGAGAGCAAGAUUUCACUAUAAUGAAUACAGUAAUAAUAACAGCUGAGUGAAGAAGUACAGCAAAGCUCUUCUUUGGAAGGUACAGUCUUCCUAGUGCUUACCGAGGCGAAAUUUAAUAUGAGAAACCCUGGAUAAGGAAAACUGCAAAGAUGAAGGGGAGGACUGCCAUAUGGAGAGGGCCAGGGACGUUUCGGGCACUUCCUCACUGCAUCCAGGCCAACUCUAUGAAAAAAAGUAUUUGGAAACUGAGGCUUAGGCAUGAAGUUGUUUAUGCCAGAACAUGCAGCCAGCAAAUGGAGGUGCUAAAUGCAGAACCCCCGUCUCAGCCUCUCUCCUCUAUAAUAGCCUUCCUCUGUUUAACCUUGUAUGACUUCUACGUAUCUGGGCGGAAACCCCUUAUCUCUCUCAGAAGUUUUAUAAAUAAAAGGCACCUUCUGAAGAAGAAUAAAAAGUCACGGUUGUGAGUUGCAUUCUUCUGAUUCCUUUUACACCAUCCCUUUUUUUUUUUUGCAUCCCUGUGUUUUGCCCUCUGGUAGGUUGGGACUGAUAGAGAGAUCUGUGAGUGAGGAUGGCGAUUUGCAAACCAUCCUACCAGGUGCCUAAUAAAAUGCAAAUCGAGACAUGCGGAGAAGAGAAGUUCUCUGUCCUUCUUUUUACAAAUAAAGUGUUACUUACCACUUGCGGGGAUCAGGAGCACCAUGCUGGGGCUGCAUCUGCUCUUUCUGACAGCUCCCCAAAGAGCCCUGUUUCUCUUUUUUGCAAGCCAGCAAGCUGUUCUUGGAGAG